Molecule: non-coding RNA, 153 nt
Filed under: Vibrio rumoiensis
Lineage: Bacteria; Pseudomonadati; Pseudomonadota; Gammaproteobacteria; Vibrionales; Vibrionaceae
Also listed under: 1 other name
Description: FMN sequence
Rfam family: FMN riboswitch aptamer (RFN element)
About the family: The RFN element is a highly conserved domain that is found frequently in the 5'-untranslated regions of prokaryotic mRNAs that encode for flavin mononucleotide (FMN) biosynthesis and transport proteins.
Source: RNAcentral
AUUUAUUCUCAGGGCGGGGUGUAAUUCCCCACCGGCGGUAUAUAACGCAUUGUGACGUUAUCAGCCCGCGAGCGCUUGAUUUUCGGAUCAAGGUCAGCAGAUCUGGUGAGAUGCCAGAGCCGACAGUAAUAGUCUGGAUGGGAGAGGAUAUAU